This is a long non-coding RNA of Pezoporus occidentalis (night parrot), 552 nucleotides long. RefSeq lists it as uncharacterized. The transcript has 2 exons. NCBI's taxonomy places the organism in Eukaryota, Metazoa, Chordata, Aves, Psittaciformes, Psittacidae. The record is from RefSeq and is a predicted model, not a curated record.
UAGGAGCUGCAGCUCAGUUUAGGUGCUGGAAAGUCUGUGACUGGAGGUGCUUGACCCUGCAGGGGGGCUGCUGUGCCACCAUGGAGCAGGCAUAGGAAGCUGGUGGUGAGGAGGCCUGAGAAAUGAAGCACUCCAGAGCCAGGCUGUUUCCACACUCCCAGGACCAAUUACAAGCACUGGAGUAAUGGUCAUUAGGGAGGCAGUGCACAUCCGGCCAAGAAACCCAGGAAGCCAAGUGAAACAGAUGGGAUCUUGUCCCUCCUUGCAGGGAGCUGCUGAGGUCUACGACAGCGUAUUCCAGCAAUUCCCAUUCAGAGCCAGUGUUUUCCCUUUCCACUGUGCUGCCCAAAGGCAGCCAAGGGAAUCCUCUGUCUGUCUCUGCUGUCAUUUGCCUGUUGAAGGCCUCUGGGCCAGUUACAAACCCUCCAACCCUCCAGUUUAAAGUCCAACCCCACCGACUGCUGCUCUUAUCACAAGAAGAGUUGAAAAGGGAAACAUUCUAAAAGGCAAAAAAGAAAAAUUAAGCUUAAAAUAAAUAUAUAUUAACAUGAA